RNAcentral lists this ribosomal RNA (877 nucleotides) under uncultured Methylobacter sp. Its description in RNAcentral is "bacterial SSU rRNA". It matches the Rfam family "Bacterial small subunit ribosomal RNA", at positions 520 to 1397 of the family's 1533-position model. The record is from RNAcentral. Lineage: Bacteria; Pseudomonadati; Pseudomonadota; Gammaproteobacteria; Methylococcales; Methylococcaceae.
GUAAUACGGAGGGUGCGAGCGUUAAUCGGAAUUACUGGGCGUAAAGCGUGCGUAGGCGGUUCGUUAAGUCAGAUGUGAAAGCCCUGGGCUCAACCUGGGAACUGCAUUUGAAACUGGCGGACUAGAGUUUAGUAGAGGGGAGUGGAAUUUCAGGUGUAGCGGUGAAAUGCGUAGAUAUCUGAAGGAACACCAGUGGCGAAGGCGACUCCCUGGACUAGAACUGACGCUGAGGUACGAAAGCGUGGGUAGCAAACAGGAUUAGAUACCCUGGUAGUCCACGCCGUAAACGAUGUCGACUAGCCGUUGGUCCUAUUUACAGGAUUAGUGGCGCAGCUAACGCAUUAAGUCGACCGCCUGGGGAGUACGGCCGCAAGGUUAAAACUCAAAGGAAUUGACGGGGACCCGCACAAGCGGUGGAGCAUGUGGUUUAAUUCGAUGCAACGCGAAGAACCUUACCUGGUCUUGACAUCCUAGGAAUCCUGCAGAGAUGCGGGAGUGCCUUCGGGAACCUGGAGACAGGUGCUGCAUGGCUGUCAUCAGCUCGUGUCGUGAGAUGUUGGGUUAAGUCCCGCAACGAGCGCAACCCUUGCCCUUAGUUGCCAUCAUUAAGUUGGGAACUCUAAGGGGGCCGCCGGUGACAAACCGGAGGAAGGUGGGGAUGACGUCAAGUCAUCAUGGCCCUUAUGACCAGGGCUACACACGUGCUACAAUGGUCGGUACAGAGGGUCGCCAACCCGCGAGGGGGAGCCAAUCCCACAAAACCGAUCGUAGUCCGGAUUGCAGUCUGCAACUCGACUGCAUGAAGUCGGAAUCGCUAGUAAUCGCGAAUCAGCAUGUCGCGGUGAAUACGUUCCCGGGUCUUGUACACACCGCCCGU